UCAAGAGUACGUGAAACUGCUUAGAGGUUAAGCCCGAUGAACCUGAAUAUCCGUUAUAGAAAAUUCAUCAUUAUGAUUUUAAUAUUUUUACAAUAUUAUAAUAAUGGUGUGCAUUUUUUCUAUAAAGGACAUUGUAAUCUAUUAACAUAAAAUAAAUAUUUAUCAUAAGAUCAAUGCAAGAGUUUAUUUAAAUUAUAGUGCUUGCAUUUUAAUAUCGAAUAAAUGCAUUUGAUUUGAUAAAGUGUUGAUAGAUUUAUUUAUAUAUAGUGCUUAAAUAUUAAAUAUUUUAUAAUAGCAUAUUAAUCAUUGAUUUUUAUGUUUAUUAUAUGCGCUUAUAUGAUUAACAAUGCGAAAGAUUCAGGAUACCUUCGGGACCCGUCUUGAAACACGGACCAAGGAGUCUAACAUAUUUGCAAGUUAUUGGGAAUAUAAAACCUAAUAGCGAAAUUAACAUAACUAUUUAUGGGAUUAGUUUUUAGCCUAUUUAUAGUCUAAUAAUUCAAUCCCGGGGCGUUCUAUACAGUUAUGUAUAAUAAUAUUUAUAUUAUUUAUACCUCUAACUAGAGCGUACCUUGAGCAUAUAUGCUGUGA
This 591-nucleotide ribosomal RNA is filed under the name Phyto cingulata. Its description in RNAcentral is "eukaryotic LSU rRNA". It matches the Rfam family "Eukaryotic large subunit ribosomal RNA", at positions 389 to 814 of the family's 3401-position model. The record is from RNAcentral. Lineage: Eukaryota; Metazoa; Arthropoda; Insecta; Diptera; Rhinophoridae.